GAGUUUUGAUCAUGGCUCAGGAUGAACGCUAGCUACAGGCUUAACACAUGCAAGUCGAGGGGCAUCAGUUUGGUUUUGCUUGCAAACCAAAGCUGGCGACCGGCGCACGGGUGAGUAACACGUAUCCAACCUGCCUCAUACUCGGGGAUAGCCUUUUCGAAAGAAAAGAUUAAUAUCCGAUAGCAUAUAUUUCCCGCAUGGGUUUUAUAUUAAAGAAAUUCGGUAUGAGAUGGGGAUGCGUUCCAUUAGUUUGUUGGCGGGGUAACGGCCCACCAAGACUACGAUGGAUAGGGGUUCUGAGAGGAAGGUCCCCCACAUUGGUACUGAGACACGGUCCAAACUCCUACGGGAGGCAGCA
This 358-nucleotide ribosomal RNA is filed under the name uncultured bacterium. RNAcentral's name for it is "bacterial SSU rRNA". It matches the Rfam family "Bacterial small subunit ribosomal RNA", at positions 9 to 353 of the family's 1533-position model. The record is from RNAcentral.